Mytilus trossulus (common blue mussel) is the source of this 471-nucleotide long non-coding RNA. RefSeq lists it as uncharacterized. Lineage: Eukaryota; Metazoa; Mollusca; Bivalvia; Mytilida; Mytilidae. The transcript has 3 exons. The record is from RefSeq and is a predicted model, not a curated record.
UGUAAGGACAGUAUUGUCAGAGGCUGAAAAGGGCAUACAGAUUGUUGAAACACUGAAACAUACCAAAACAAAAAGUUUCAGUGUAUCGAACAUGUUGAAGUUGGUGCUACUUCUAUGUGCAAUAAGGGUAGCAGAAACUGGCGCAGCAAUAUGCGGAAGUAGCAAAUAUGAUUCACGUUUUCAAACCUGUUGCCAGGGAGUGUUGAAUUCGUUUAGUGGGCCGCACAUGUUAUGCUGUAAAAGUAUAGCAUAUGACAGUCGUUUUAGCACUUGUUGCCAGGGAGUGUUGAAUUCGUUUAAAGUGCUGCACACAUCAUGCUGCAAAAGUACGGCAUAUGACAGUCGUUAUAGCACUUGUUGUCAGGGAGUGUUGAAUUCGUUUAGUGGGCCGCACAUAUCAUGCUGUAACAGUAUAGCAUAUGACAUUCGUUUUAGCACUUGUAGCCAGGGAGUGUUGAAAAGGCAAUAAUU